AUUGAACGCUGGCGGAAUGCUUUACACAUGCAAGUCGAACGGCAGCACGGACUUCGGUCUGGUGGCGAGUGGCGAACGGGUGAGUAAUGUAUCGGAACGUGCCCAGUCGUGGGGGAUAACGUAGUGAAAAUUACGCUAAUACCGCAUACGAUCUAUGGAUGAAAGCGGGGGAUCGCAAGACCUCGCGCGAUUGGAGCGGCCGAUAUCAGAUUAGGUAGUUGGUGGGGUAAAGGCCCACCAAGCCAACGAUCUGUAGCUGGUCUGAGAGGACGACCAGGCACACUGGAACGGAGACACGGUCCAGACUACUACGGGAGGCAGCAGUGGGGAAUUUUGGACAAUGGGCGAAAGCCUGAUCCAGCCAUUCCGCGUGCAGGAUGAAGGCCCUCGGGUUGUAAACUGCUUUUGUACAGAACGAAAAGGUUUCUACUAAUACUAGGAGCUCAUGACGGUACUGUAAGAAUAAGCACCGGCUAACUACGUGCCAGCCGCCGCAGUAA
RNAcentral lists this ribosomal RNA (500 nucleotides) under uncultured bacterium. RNAcentral's name for it is "partial 16S ribosomal RNA". It matches the Rfam family "Bacterial small subunit ribosomal RNA", at positions 30 to 523 of the family's 1533-position model. The record is from RNAcentral.